CCUACGGGUGGCAGCAGUGAGGAAUAUUGGUCAAUGGACGAGAGUCUGAACCAGCCAAGUAGCGUGAAGGAUGACUGCCCUAUGGGUUGUAAACUUCUUUUAUAUGGGAAUAAAAUGUUCCACGUGUGGGAUUUUGUAUGUACCAUAUGAAUAAGGAUCGGCUAACUCCGUGCCAGCAGCCGCGGUACUACGGAGGAUCCGAGCGUUAUCCGGAUUUAUUGGGUUUAAAGGGAGCGUAGGUGGAUUGUUAAGUCAGUUGUGAAAGUUUGCGGCGCAACCGUAAAAUUGCAGUUGAAACUGGCAGUCUUGAGUACAGUAGAGGUGGGCGGAAUUCGUGGUGUAGCGGUGAAAUGCUUAGAUAUCACGAAGAACUCCGAUUGCGAAGGCAGUUCACUGGACUGCAACUGACACUGAGGCUCGAAAGUGUGGGUAUCAAACAGGAUUAGAUACCCUUGUAGUC
This 460-nucleotide ribosomal RNA is filed under the name uncultured bacterium. RNAcentral's name for it is "partial 16S ribosomal RNA". It matches the Rfam family "Bacterial small subunit ribosomal RNA", at positions 338 to 795 of the family's 1533-position model. The record is from RNAcentral.